CAUGCAUGUCUAAGUAUAAGCAAUUAUACAGCGAAACUGCGAAUGGCUCAUUAUAUAAGUUAUCGUUUAUUUGAUAGUACCUUACUACUUGGAUAACCGUGGUAAUUCUAGAGCUAAUACAUGCUAAAAAUCCCGACUUCGGAAGGGAUGUAUUUAUUAGAUUAAAAACCAAUGCCCUCUGGGCUCCUUGGUGAUUCAUAAUAACUUUUCGAAUCGCAUGGCCUUGCGCCGGCGAUGGUUCAUUCAAAUUUCUUCCCUAUCAACUUUCGAUGUUUGGGUAUUGGCCAAACAUGGUCGCAACGGGUAACGGAGGGUUAGGGCUCGACCCCGGAGAAGGAGCCUGAGAAACGGCUACUACAUCCAAGGAAGGCAGCAGGCGCGCAAAUUACCCAAUCCCGAUUCGGGGAGGUAGUGACAAUAAAUACUGAUACAGGGCUCUUUUGGGUCUUGUAAUUGGAAUGAGUACAAUUUAAAUCCCUUAACGAGGAACAAUUGGAGGGCAAGUCUGGUGCCAGCAGCCGCGGUAAUUCCAGCUCCAAUAGCGUAUAUUAAAGUUGUUGUGGUUAAAAAGCUCGUAGUUGAACCUUGGGCCUGGCUGGCCGGUCCGCCUCACCGCGUGUACUGGUCCGGCCGGGCCUUUCCCUCUGUGGAACCUCAUGCCCUUCACUGGGUGUGGCGGGGAAACAGGACUUUUACUUUGAAAAAAUUAGAGUGCUCCAGGCAGGCCUAUGCUCGAAUACAUUAGCAUGGAAUAAUGAAAUAGGACGUGUGGUUCUAUUUUGUUGGUUUCUAGGACCGCCGUAAUGAUUAAUAGGGACAGUCGGGGGCAUCAGUAUUCAAUUGUCAGAGGUGAAAUUCUUGGAUUUAUUGAAGACUAACUACUGCGAAAGCAUUUGCCAAGGAUGUUUUCAUUAAUCAGGAACGAAAGUUAGGGGAUCGAAGACGAUCAGAUACCGUCGUAGUCUUAACCAUAAACUAUGCCGACUAGGGAUCGGACGAUGUUAUUUUUUGACGCGUUCGGCACCUUACGAGAAAUCAAAGUGCUU
This 1046-nucleotide ribosomal RNA is filed under the name Samsoniella alpina. RNAcentral describes it as "SSU rRNA". It matches the Rfam family "Eukaryotic small subunit ribosomal RNA", at positions 50 to 1108 of the family's 1831-position model. Lineage: Eukaryota; Fungi; Ascomycota; Sordariomycetes; Hypocreales; Cordycipitaceae. The record is from RNAcentral.